AGGGAUGUGGCUCAGUGGUAGAGCACUUGCCUAGCAUGUGCAAGGCACUGGGUUCCAUUCCCAGCACUGCAA
Molecule: non-coding RNA, 72 nt
Organism: Ictidomys tridecemlineatus (thirteen-lined ground squirrel)
Lineage: Eukaryota; Metazoa; Chordata; Mammalia; Rodentia; Sciuridae
Source: Rfam